Molecule: unclassified non-coding RNA, 3960 nt
Filed under: Portunus trituberculatus (swimming crab)
Lineage: Eukaryota; Metazoa; Arthropoda; Malacostraca; Decapoda; Portunidae
Description: e3 ubiquitin-protein ligase RNF126-B-like, transcript variant X5
Source: RNAcentral
CUUACGUAGGUGAAGACAAGGGAAAGUAUAAAUUCAAUAAAUAGUGAAGUGAUGUGUUGCCAGUCCCAAAAUGGCGGAGGCGGGCGUGGAGACAGCCUCUUCCUCGGCCAGAUUCUUCUGUCACAAGUGCAAUGUCGAGAUUACUCCAAAGUUACCAGACUAUGUUUGCCCACGAUGCAAUAGUGGUUUCAUUGAGGAGCUGGAGCGAACACAUGUCUCAGACAGUGACAGCUCAAGUGACACAGAAAUGGAAUCUUUUGAUAUGUUGGAUUUGAUAGCCCAAGAACCCCCAACCUUACCUGGUGCCUCUGCCUCUCCUGCUUCCUCUUCCUCAGUACCUGGUCCACGCAUAAGUCAACGAUUGAGACAUCUUAAUGCAAGACACAAUAGAAGAAGGGUCAGUGGAGGAGACCGCCACUCUGCACUUGCCCCUCUCAUUCAUGACCUCAUAAUGCAGAUGACCUCAGGGGUCAUUGAAGCCAGUGUAGGAGGAGCAGAUUAUGUUCCCCAAAUGGACAUUGACUGGCCGGGAUUUCCCGUUCUAGUUGCCUCAAACCUCGCUUCUAAUCCUGGAGACUAUGCCUGGGGACGGGGAGGGCUGGAUACUAUCAUCACACAGCUUAUGAACCAGCUUGAUGGUACAGGCCCUCCACCUCUAACAAAAGAUGAGAUUUCCCAAAUACCUACAUCCAAAAUCACCAAAGAGCAGUGUGAUAAAGGACUACAGUGUUCAAUUUGCAUGGAGGAUUUUACAGUGGAUGAAACUGUGCGUCGCCUGUAUUGUGAACACUGCUUUCACAAUGACUGCAUCAUUCCCUGGUUAGAAUUGCAUGGAACCUGUCCAAUAUGCCGCAAAUUGCUUCUGGAGGAUGGGCGGCCAGUAAUGGGAGCCUCAGCAACUCCUGGGAAUAAUCCUCCUAGCUCUGGUCCAAGGUUAAUAAGACCUCAGAUGGGGGUUCCAUCAUCACUCCCAAGCAGUAGCAAUGCCUCAUCCUCUUCAUCCUCCACCAGCAGCACCAGUUCUCCAACUUCUAGGUCUUCUUCAGCCAGACCUAUGUUUGAGGAAGAGCUGGAUUGAUGUUUGGAGGAUCUUAUUUAGAAAAGUUCUGUUUUUACAUCACAACAGCACUGUAAUUGUUUGCUCAACUUCAUUGAUGUUCAAACAUGUGCAGAAAAUUAAUGAUUCUUCCAUUGACAGAUUAUGUAAUAUUCUUUCAGCAUAAAAGGUAAUGUGUCAUAUUUGCAAAAAGUAUGCUUAAAAUUUUCAGUUACAUCCAUGUGUUUGAAGGUGUAAAUUCAUAAAUAUGAAAGUCGUGCAUUGUCCACAAAUGAGAUUGGGCCAGUGGUAGAUUUCCAUUUUUAAAUUAUUUUUUGUUAAUGAAUCACAAAUGAAAAGGGAGUGAGUAAAAUAUAUUGGUUUACUUCUUGUGGUAUUAUGUUUCAUGGUGUCUAAAGCAAGAUGUGGGCAAGUUUUCUUAUAUUUAUCCUGGUCCAUUCUCUCUCUAAAAAAAAAAAAAAAAAAAAAAAAAGAACUACUAUCGUUUGAUCUCCAAGUCUGAGACUGGAGCCUCUAAAUAUUGCAGGUAUUGCCAGUAAUAAAUUUGUUCCACCCAUUUCCAGCAGUUUUUGAAAUUAAGGUCUUAGAAUUCAGGUAACAACUAAAAGAACCUCAUUAUCAUCUAGCUGCUUGGUAAAUAAACUGUUCAGGUUUUUUUAAGGGUUUAUAUACAAAGUGCAUUUAUGGAGUUGUUUAGCAUCUAUGAAAGAUCUUUGUAGCAAUUAGUUGAUCAACUUGUUUGAUGCUAAAUUUUUGCAAAAAAAAAAAUAAUAAUAAUGUAAAGAUGCUAAAGGUAACAACAUGUUCCUCCUGUCAUCUUUGUAUUCAAUGCCUUGAAUCUUCAGAAGGAAGAACAAACUUUAGAAUUGUCACUAAAGCAACUGUAAAUAGAACUAAUGUGUUUCACUGCCCUCUGUAGGCAUGUUGCAUUAGCUCAUUGUACAGUUAAAUCAAACACAUCCUUGACAUUCAGGGACACUCAAAUUUAUAUUGACUUCACCAUAUAAUGUGAUGUAUAGUCCAGUGUGUUUGUUUACAUGUACUAAAGCUAAACCUACUCUUGCAUAUACAUUCAUUUGUGGAUGGUAAUGGCAUGUCUGCUUCAGCAGCUUGAGGUUUCACUUUUUCUUUUUAUGGAUCACUAACUUCACCUUGACUGGCUUCCUUGAGUUCCAGAGUUGUAUAAAGUAGAUUUUUGGAACCUUAUCAUUAUACAACUUGUACCAGACCUUGUAUUAGUAAGCAAAAAAAAAAAAAACAAUCACUAAUGAUGUUAGCACUUUUAGUAAGUCCAGUUAUGGGAAGUGAGCUUGUAAAUUAUUUGCCCUCCCCAGCAUCUCAAGAGCACACUGACAAGAGACAGCUAUAGCUGGUGGCAUUAUAAAAUUGCCAGCUAACACCAUUUGCUUGUUAAUGAAGUAUAAAGCUAUUGUGCCAGGAAAGUAGCAUUUCUAUUUAUUUAUUAAUAUUUUAAGAGGAAAAGAACCCUGGUGUAAUCUUAUUUAUGGAUACAAAAUUAUUCCAUACAUAUGGUGGACAUCCUUAGUUGAAACAUGUACAUGACAACAUACUGAUGUUUAUUGACAUACAACAGAUAUAUAAAGACAAACAAACCUGAUCGAGUUUUAUAAUAUCCAGUAAUGUGUAUUAUAAUUGCACACUUUAAUGCAAGAAAAUAGGGAAAAAAAUGUGAUGAGUAGCAUUCCAUGAAGUGCAGUUUCAGCAGAUGUGCAGUUCACAUAUCUCCUUUGAUACAUCUUGAUACAUUGCAGUUUAGCUGAACUCUAAAGUCUUUAUACUGGUCAGACUGAGUUUCCUGCUAUUAUUGAAGUGACAAAGAAACAACAAAUUGAUAUAUUUAUUAUUGACUAUGUGUAGCAGCAGAAUGGAAUAAUUGUUUUUGUACAUUGUGCUGUUUUGUAUAACCCUUUCCUAUUCUGAGGACUUUUCACAGCAAUGAAAAAUAACGUGUGAAUAGUGGACUUGACAUUUAGCAAAACUACGUAGUUGUCAUUGCUUUUGGAGCAGUAUGAUUUAGUGUGAUCUCUUCUCUAUAUACUUUCUUUCUUAAAAUACAACUGUAUAUGCAAUUUUAAAGAAAAUUUCUAUAGCUAUGUCAUGAAAAGAAGAAAAUGCAUCAUGAAUAUUAAUGUUUGGCAAUCAAUUUUUAUUAAAGUUGAAUAUUUUUGCAUAAAUGCUUUUUUUUUUUUUUUUUUUUUUUUUUUUUGCCUAUGCUAUGGUAUAUUACAUAAAUUACUAAGUUUAAAAAUGCAACCUAAUUGACCUCUAUCAGUAGGUAUUUUGCUAUGAGCUUUGCAAAUAAAACAUGCAUACACGACUUCAAGAUGCCCUCUGCUAUGGGUUGCGUGAAAAAGCAGGUUUUGGCUGACAUUCAGAAUGGUAAAGGGUUAAAGUAUAUUUUGAUUUCAGUGGGAGAAAGUAUGAGGAAUUCCAAACUCUUACAUGAAAAAAUCAUGUAACAAUGGUUUGUCUAAAUGUCAACUUCUUAAAUAGUUAUUUCACAAGCACUGACAAAACACACACACACACACACACACACACACACACACACACACACACACACACACACACACACACACACACCAAAAAAUUCUGUAACUCAUAUACCAGAAAAUCCUGCUGUCUUACAGCAUAGCAAAUUGUUAUAGUAACAUUUUGUAUAUAAAACCUGUAAAUGCAUUUUCUUAUGUAUGGAGUUUAUAUAAUAUGUACAAAAAUUAUUUAGUUUCAUGUCCCCAAAUGUUUCAGCUAGUCCUUGGGUCUGUUGCAUCAUGGGGAAUUGUAUCAUAUUCACUGGUCAGAAGAGAUAAGUUUUUAUUUAGCAAAGAAAAAAAAAAUCAGUUGGUAAAUUUAUUAAGGUAUCAAUAAAUAUAGUUUUCAUC